This 218-nucleotide ribosomal RNA is filed under the name uncultured microorganism. Its description in RNAcentral is "partial 16S ribosomal RNA". It matches the Rfam family "Archaeal small subunit ribosomal RNA", at positions 330 to 552 of the family's 1478-position model. The record is from RNAcentral.
GUGCACCAGGCGCGAAACCUCCGCAAUACACGAAAGUGUGACGGGCCAUCCCGAGUGCCGUCCGCUGAGGACGGCUUUUCCCCAGUGUACACAGCUGGGGGAAUAAGGAGAGGGCAAGCCUGGUGUCAGCCGCGCGGUAAUACCAGCUCUCCGAGUGGUGGGACGCUUAUUGGGCCUAAAGCAUCCGUAGCCGGCUGGGCAAGUCCUCCGUUAAAUCC